Molecule: ribosomal RNA, 262 nt
Filed under: uncultured bacterium
Lineage: Bacteria
Description: partial 16S ribosomal RNA
Rfam family: Bacterial small subunit ribosomal RNA
Source: RNAcentral
GUCCACGCCCUAAACGAUCUUCACUAGCUUUUCGGAGUAUCGACCCUCUGAGAGGCGAAGCUAACGCGUUAAGUGAAGCGCCUGGGAAGUACGGCCGCAAGGCUAAAACUCAAAAGGAAUAGACGGGGACUCGCACAAGCGGUGGAUUAUGUGGUUUAAUUCGUAGGUAAACGAAGAACCUUACCCAGAUUUGAAACUGAGAUGAAAUCCUAAGAAACUAGGCCCUCGCAAGACAUCUCAGCAGGUGAUGCAUGGCCGUCGU